UCAAGUUGAAAAGGGUAUACGGCGGAUGCCUUGGUACCAGAAGGCGAUGAAGGACGUGGUUAACUGCGAUAAGCCUCGGGGAGCCGCAAGCAGGCUUUGAUCCGGGGAUUUCCGAAUGGGGAAACCCACCCGAGUAAACCUCGGGUAUCCUGACCUCAAUACAUAGGGUCAGGAGGCGAGACGGGGGGAAUUGAAACAUCUUAGUACCCCCAGGAAGAGAAAGUAAUAACGAUUCCCUAAGUAGCGGCGAGCGAAAGGGGAUGAGCCCAAACGCAAGAGGCGUGAUAGCUGUCAGGCGUUGCCUCCUGCGCGUUGUGGGGCCUGAUAUCUCUUUGCUGACAAGAAGAGAGAGAGUUACAAAAUCACUCUCUAGCCAAAGUGAGCUUGGAAAACUCCACCAGAGCGGGUGAUAGUCCCUUAGGCGAAAGAGAUUGAUCUCUCGCUAUCAGGUUCCCGAGUAGCACGGGAUAAGUGAAGCCCUGUGUGAAACCGGGAGGACCACCUCCCAAGGCUAAAUACUAACUGGUGACCGAUAGUGAACUAGUACCGUGAGGGAAAGGUGAAAAGUACCCCGGGAGGGGAGUGAAAUAGUACCUGAAACCGUAUACCUACAAGCAGUGGGAGCACCAUUGCCCCUGGCUUGCCAGAGGCAGGUGUGACCGCGUGCCUUUUGUAGAAUGAGCCGGCGAGUUACGCCAACCAGCCAGGUUAAGCAGCAGCUGCUGCGGAGCCGUAGCGAAAGCGAGUCUGAAUAGGGCGAUUUAGUUGGUUGACGUAGACCCGAAACCGGGUGAUCUAUCCAUGGCCAGGGUGAAACCUGUCUGAACGCAGGCGGAGGCCCGAACCCACUAAUGUUGAAAAAUUAGGGGAUGAGCUGUGGAUGGGGGUGAAAGGCCAAUCAAACCCGGAUAUAGCUGGUUCUCCCCGAAAUAGCUUUAGGGCUAGCCUCAAAUGUUGUCCUAUGGAGGUAGAGCACUGAAUGGACUAGGGGCCUUACCAGGUUACUGAAUCCAAUCAAACUCCGAAUACCAUAGGUACUAAUUUGGGAGUCAGACUGCGGGGGAUAAGCUCCGUAGUCGAAAGGGAAACAGCCCAGACCAUAAGCUAAGGUCCCCAAGUGCAGACUAAGUGGUAAAGGAAGUUGAAUUACCCAGACAGCCAGGAUGUUGGCUUAGAGGCAGCCACCAUUUAAAAAGUGCGUAACAGCUUACUGGUUAAGUGAUUCUGCACCGAAAAAUGUACGGGGCUCAAGUCUGCCACCGAAGCUAUGGCUUGGUAUCUUGUAUACCAGGGGUAGGGGAGCGUUCUCUCAGGGCAGAAGGGUUACCGAAAGGAGGCCUGGACUAGAGAGAAGUGAGAAUGCCGGCAUGAGUAACGAUAAGGCAAGUGAGAAUCUUGCCCGCCGAAAACCUAAGGUUUCCUGGGGAAGGUAAAUCCGCCCAGGGUUAGUCGGGCCUAAGCUCAGGCCGAAAGGCGUAGGCGAUGGACAACCGGUUAAUAUUCCGGUACUGCCAUCUGUUCAUUAUGAGUGAUGGGGUGACCCAGGAGGGUAGGUCAGCACGAUAAAAGUUACGUGUCUAAGCCCGUAGAGGGAAGAGACAGGCAAAUCCGUCUCUUCGUUAACCUCAAGAGGUGAUGGGGAGCUGCUACGGCGGCGAACUGAUUGAUCCCACACUGGCAAGAAAAACCUCUAACCAGAACAGAGGGCAUCCGUACUAAAACCGACACAGGUAGGUAGGUAGAGAAUACCAAGGCGCUCGAGAGAACCCUCGUUAAGGAACUCGGCAAAAUGACUCCGUAACUUCGGGAGAAGGAGUGCCUCACCAGGGUGAGUCUUAUUUACUCAGAUAAGCUCGAAGAGGCUGCAAUAAAACGGCCCAAGCGACUGUUUACUAAAAACACAGGUCUCUGCUAAAUCGAAAGAUGAUGUAUAGGGACUGACGCCUGCCCGGUGCUGGAAGGUCAAGGAAGGAGGUUAGUCGUAAGGCGAAGCUUCUGACCAAAGCCCCAGUAAACGGCGGCCGUAACUAUAACGGUCCUAAGGUAGCGAAAUUCCUUGUCGGGUAAGUUCCGACCCGCACGAAUGGCGUAACGAUUUGGGCACUGUCUCAACGAGGGACUCGGUGAAAUUGUAAUGCAAGUGAAGAUGCUUGCUACCCGCGACAGGACGGGAAGACCCCGUGAACCUUUACUAUAGCCUGAUAUUGGAUUUUAGCAUUCCCUGUGUAGGAUAGGUGGUAGGCUGUGAAGAAGAGGCGCUAGCCUCUUGGGAGCCACCCUUGAAAUACCACCCUCGGUCUGUUGAGGUUCUAACCCCAUGCCGUGAAUCCGGCUGGGGGACAGUAUUUGGUGGGUAGUUUGACUGGGGCGGUCACCUCCUAAAUUGUAACGGAGGUGUCCAAAGGUCUUCUCAGUGUGGUUGGAAAUCACACCAUAGAGUGCAAGGGCAUAAGAAGGCUUAACUGUGAGAGAGACAUCUCGAACAGAUGCGAAAGCAGGGCCUAGUGAUCCGGCGGUAGCUGGUGGAUGUGCCGUCGCUCAUCGGAUAAAAGGUACUCCGGGGAUAACAGGCUGAUCUCCCCCAAGAGUCCACAUCGACGGGGAGGUUUGGCACCUCGAUGUCGGCUCGUCGCAUCCUGGGGCUGAAGCAGGUCCCAAGGGUUUGGCUGUUCGCCAAUUAAAGCGGCACGCGAGCUGGGUUUAGAACGUCGUGAGACAGUUCGGUCCCUAUCCGUCGCGGGCGUGGGAUACUUGAGAGGGUCUGCCUCUAGUACGAGAGGACCGAGGUGGACGAACCGCUAGUGUACCAGUUGUCCUGCUCAGGGCAUUGCUGGGUAGCUAUGUUCGGUUAGGAUAAACGCUGAAAGCAUCUAAGCGUGAAGCCUGCCUCAAGAUGAGGUAUCCAUCUGGAAUAAAUCCAGGAGAGAUCCCGGGAAGAAGACCCGGUUGAUAGGUCAGGUGUGUAAGGCCAGUGAUGGUCUUAGCUAACUGAUACUAAUAGAUNNNNNNNNNNNNNNN
Molecule: ribosomal RNA, 3018 nt
Filed under: metagenome
Description: bacterial LSU rRNA
Rfam family: Bacterial large subunit ribosomal RNA
Source: RNAcentral